Long non-coding RNA from Hylaeus anthracinus, 1385 nucleotides. RefSeq lists it as uncharacterized. The record is from RefSeq and is a predicted model, not a curated record. The transcript has 2 exons. Lineage: Eukaryota; Metazoa; Arthropoda; Insecta; Hymenoptera; Colletidae.
GACUUCAGAAACAACAACUCAAACCGCGUCAACUACUCCGAAUUCAGAAACCACAACUCAACCCGAGUCAACUACUCCGAAUUCAGAAACCACAACUCAACCCGAGUCAACUACUCCGACUUCAGAAGCAACUAUUGCAGGUGAGAUUACAAGUGUAUCGAACUAAUCAUAGGAAAUUAUUAUAAUUUGGAUACUUUUUUCCGUGAUCGUUUACUAUACUUAACCGUGACAAUGUGUACCGAUUAUUCGCGAAAAAAUUUUCGAGUCCUUAACGGUGUGAAUGAUUGUGUUAGUGUACAGGAUGAUUCUAACUAUAUAUAACUAUUUACAAGAGUGUCGUGAAAGUAUUCAUAUUCCAUCAAAUAUUAACUCCAGAUUGUUGGUUUUUUUUAGAUAAAGGUUACGAAAUUUUCUCGUCGAUAAAAAUGCAAUUUUGUGUUGAUUAAGCAAUUAAUCAAUAAUUAAACAGAAUGUUUGAUUUAUGCGACACCCUGCAUAGCGUCCAAGCAAUUUUUAUUACGACAUUUUUACAUAAAUUAAUCUUCUAUGCGUACCUUUUACAGGUCUAAAAAUCCGUAGAAGCGUACUCAACUAUUUCGCGCAAAUAGAUACAUUGCAGGACGGAACGAAAGUCUACUGCUUCAAAAAAAGCGAAGGCAACACCACAACCAGAGGAUGCACGUUUAAUCAACACUUAUGCGGAGAAAACAAUAAAGAUUGCAAAAUUUGUGACUCGGAUCAAUGCAAUUCGGCAACGUCGACGGCUGUCUAUGUGUCCAUGGUGGUGUCUUUGUUAGUUGUUUUAUUCGUCGCGAAAUAGAAAUGAUGAAUUUAUUUAUUAUCAGGGAGGUUCUAAUGUGAACCAGAUAACAUUCUGCCAAAAAACACCGUCAAUUUCAUUUCUUCGCGGCAAACGAGUACUAUUAUACGAAAUUUUCUCUGCCAUGUUACAGCAAUGUAAUACGGAAUGUUAAACGUAACGCGAUAAUUGGACUCAAGCAGUGCUAUAUUAAUGUUAUGCAAUUAAAUUAUUGGGUAGUGUCAAACGAGUAGCCCGUUACGUAGAUUUAAAAAAUUAGAAAAAUGAUGUAAUCAACUUAGGCACGAUAAGGUAAAACCCAUGUGAUAUAUAAGGUGAUAUAUUUAUAUGUUGUGUCCCUUUUUGGCGAGAUUCCUUCAUCAGAACAAUAAAAAAUGUAAUUUAACAUUAACUAAAUAAUUUCAUUUAACGAAGUUCGUUUGAUUGAACGAUUUGCUAGAAUAAUUACCGAUAAAAUGGGCUUUUGGAAUAGGAAAUAGCAGAUGCACGUUUAAACAUGCAAGACAUACAAUUUUUAACGUUAUUUUAAGUUAACUAGUUUACCAAAUUUUUCGAUAUAAAAUAA